This 345-nucleotide unclassified non-coding RNA is filed under the name soil metagenome. Its description in RNAcentral is "partial contains 5.8S ribosomal RNA, internal transcribed spacer 2, and large subunit ribosomal RNA". The stretch from base 1 to 120 matches the Rfam family "5.8S ribosomal RNA", at positions 35 to 154 of the family's 154-position model. The record is from RNAcentral.
GAUGAAGAACGUAGCGAAAUGCGAUAAGUAGUGUGAAUUGCAGAAUUCCGUGAAUCAUCGAGUCUUUGAACGCACAUUGCGCCCCCUGGUAUUCCGGGGGGCAUGCCUGUCCGAGCGCCAUUGCUGCCCUCAAGCACGGCUUGUGUGUUGGGCCUCCGUCCUCCUCCCGGGGGACGGGCCCGAAAGGCAGCGGCGGCACCGCGUCCGGUCCUCGAGCGUAUGGGGCUUCGUCACCCGCUCUUGUAGGCCCGGCCGGCGCUUGCCGACACAUCAAUCUUUUUUCCAGGUUGACCUCGGAUCAGGUAGGGAUACCCGCUGAACUUAAGCAUAUCAAUAAGCGGAGGA